This 253-nucleotide ribosomal RNA is filed under the name uncultured bacterium. RNAcentral describes it as "partial 16S ribosomal RNA". It matches the Rfam family "Bacterial small subunit ribosomal RNA", at positions 524 to 776 of the family's 1533-position model. The record is from RNAcentral. RNAcentral also lists the same sequence under 1 other name.
UACGGAGGGUGCAAGCGUUAUCCGGAUUUAUUGGGUUUAAAGGGUCCGUAGGCGGAUCUGUAAGUCAGUGGUGAAAUCUCAUAGCUUAACUAUGAAACUGCCAUUGAUACUGCAGGUCUUGAGUGAGAUUGAGGUAGCUGGAAUAAGUAGUGUAGCGGUGAAAUGCAUAGAUAUUACUUAGAACACCAAUUGCGAAGGCAGGUUACCAAGUCUUAACUGACGCUGAUGGACGAAAGCGUGGGGAGCGAACAGG